This is a non-coding RNA of Microcebus murinus (gray mouse lemur), 3933 nucleotides long. Lineage: Eukaryota; Metazoa; Chordata; Mammalia; Primates; Cheirogaleidae. The record is from RefSeq and is a predicted model, not a curated record.
CACCAGCUCUGAGCGGUUUUUGCGCAGGCGCGCAAGCCCUUGGCCUCCAACUAUCGCGAGAAUAGCCUCCCGGAAGUUCCACGUCAGUCAGCCGGUCAGCGGAUCGGUGGGUCUCUCAGGGCCUGCGUCUCUGGUAGCAAGUCGGGGCUUGCGGGCUCGGACCGAAGCAGCCAUGCCUCUGAGACUUGAUAUUAAAAGAAAGCUAACUGCUAGAUCUGACCGAGUUAAGAGUGUGGAUUUGCAUCCUACAGAGCCAUGGAUGUUGGCAAGUCUUUACAAUGGCAGUGUGUGUGUUUGGAAUCAUGAAACACAGACAUUGGUGAAGACAUUUGAAGUGUGUGAUCUUCCUGUUCGAGCUGCAAAGUUUGUUGCAAGGAAGAAUUGGGUUGUGACAGGAGCGGAUGACAUGCAGAUCAGAGUCUUCAAUUAUAAUACUUUGGAGAGAGUCCAUAUGUUUGAAGCACAUUCAGACUAUAUUCGCUGUAUUGCUGUUCAUCCAACCCAGCCUUUCAUUCUAACUAGCAGUGAUGAUAUGCUUAUUAAGCUCUGGGACUGGGAUAAAAAAUGGUCUUGCUCACAAGUGUUUGAAGGACACACCCAUUAUGUAAUGCAGAUCGUGAUCAACCCCAAAGAUAAUAAUCAGUUCGCCAGUGCAUCUUUGGACAGGACCAUCAAGGUGUGGCAAUUGGGCUCUUCCUCACCAAACUUCACUCUGGAAGGACAUGAGAAAGGCGUGAAUUGCAUCGAUUACUACAGUGGUGGCGACAAACCAUACCUCAUUUCAGGUGCAGAUGACCGUCUUGUUAAAAUAUGGGAUUAUCAGAAUAAAACAUGUGUGCAGACCCUGGAGGGACAUGCCCAAAAUGUGUCUUGUGCCAGUUUUCAUCCUGAGUUGCCAAUUAUCAUCACAGGUUCAGAAGAUGGAACAGUGCGUAUUUGGCAUUCAAGCACCUACCGGCUUGAGAGCACAUUAAAUUAUGGAAUGGAGAGGGUAUGGUGUGUGGCCAGUCUAAGAGGGUCCAACAAUGUCGCUUUGGGCUAUGACGAAGGGAGCAUCAUUGUUAAGCUUGGUCGGGAGGAACCUGCCAUGUCCAUGGAUGCCAAUGGAAAGAUAAUUUGGGCCAAGCAUUCAGAAGUCCAGCAGGCCAACCUAAAAGCAAUGGGAGAUGCCGAAAUUAAAGAUGGGGAAAGAUUGCCAUUGGCAGUAAAGGAUAUGGGCAGUUGUGAAAUAUACCCUCAGACUAUUCAGCACAAUCCUAAUGGGCGGUUUGUGGUGGUGUGUGGUGAUGGGGAGUAUAUCAUCUACACAGCAAUGGCAUUGAGAAACAAGAGCUUUGGGUCGGCACAAGAGUUUGCAUGGGCCCACGAUUCUUCAGAAUAUGCGAUAAGAGAGAGCAACAGCGUUGUAAAGAUAUUUAAGAAUUUUAAGGAAAAAAAAUCGUUUAAACCAGAUUUUGGAGCUGAAAGUAUCUACGGAGGCUUCUUAUUGGGAGUCAGAUCUGUAAACGGCUUAGCCUUCUAUGACUGGGAUAAUACAGAACUCAUACGCAGAAUUGAAAUUCAACCCAAACAUAUUUUCUGGUCAGACUCUGGAGAGCUAGUUUGUAUUGCCACCGAGGAAUCAUUUUUUAUCCUUAAGUAUCUGUCAGAAAAAGUCUUGGCUGCACAGGAAACACAUGAGGGAGUAACUGAAGAUGGCAUUGAAGAUGCCUUUGAGGUUCUUGGUGAGAUUCAGGAAAUAGUGAAAACGGGGCUGUGGGUAGGCGAUUGUUUCAUUUACACAAGUUCUGUGAACAGAUUAAAUUAUUACGUUGGAGGAGAAAUAGUCACCAUUGCCCACUUGGACAGGACAAUGUAUCUCCUGGGCUAUAUUCCUAAAGACAACAGGCUUUAUCUUGGGGAUAAAGAAUUGAACAUUGUUAGCUACUCCUUGCUGGUUUCAGUCCUAGAAUACCAGACAGCUGUCAUGAGAAGGGACUUUAGCAUGGCUGAUAAAGUCCUUCCUACCAUUCCAAAAGAACAGAGGACCAGAGUUGCACACUUUUUGGAAAAGCAGGGCUUCAAGCAGCAAGCUCUUACAGUAUCCACAGAUCCUGAGCAUCGUUUUGAGCUUGCUCUUCAACUUGGAGAGUUAAAAAUUGCAUACCAGUUAGCAGUAGAAGCAGAGUCAGAACAGAAGUGGAAACAACUUGCUGAGCUUGCCAUUAGUAAAUGUCAGUUUGGCCUAGCCCAGGAGUGCCUGCACCAUGCACAGGAUUAUGGGGGUCUGCUGCUUUUGGCCACUGCCUCUGGAAAUGCUAGUAUGGUGAACAAGCUAGCAGAGGGUGCGGAGAGAGAUGGCAAAAAUAACGUGGCAUUCAUGAGCUACUUUUUACAGGGCAAGCUUGAUGCUUGCCUGGAGCUCUUGAUUAGAACUGGACGGCUGCCAGAAGCUGCCUUCCUGGCCCGAACUUACUUACCCAGUCAGGUUUCAAGGGUAGUGAAACUCUGGAGAGAGAAUCUGUCAAAAGUCAAUCAGAAAGCAGCAGAAUCCCUUGCUGACCCAACAGAGUAUGAAAAUCUUUUCCCUGGAUUAAAAGAAGCUUUUGUUGUUGAAGAAUGGGUGAAGGAAACACAUGCUGAUCUGUGGCCAGCCAAACAAUAUCCACUUGUCACGCCAAAUGAAGAGAGAAAUGUUAUGGAAGAGGCAAAAGGCUUUCAGCCCUCCAGAUCUGCAGCUCAACAGGAACUUGACGAGAAGCCGCCUUCUCCUACUCCAGUUAUUAUAGCCUCCCACACAGCCAACAAAGAAGAAAAGAGUUUACUUGAACUAGAAGUAGAUCUGGAUAAUUUGGAAUUAGAAGAUAUUGACACAACAGAUAUCAAUCUGGAUGAAGAUAUUUUGGAUGAUUGAAUGUAAUGUCUUCCAUUUACUCAACAGAUCAUUAUAUAGACUACUUUGAAAAAGACUUUUUGAUGCCCUAAAAAUCUUACAAAAGCACGGGAUAUCAAAAGCAAAAGUAUUUUCAUAAGGUAAAUGAUGACUUUUACUGAAAAUCCCUAGAAACAGUUCUACCAGAAAACAAACACCCACAAGAACUUAUGUCUACUUCUUUACAUUUCUUAUUUAAUUUUUGUGUAUCUGGAAAAGUUCACUGACACACAGGAGCACUGGUGAGCCCUGGAUAAGUCAAUGUUCAAGGUAUACAGUACAGAUCCAAAGCCACUUACUCUUUCAAAGAAUCUACCCUUGUUUAUGCAACACAAAAGCAAAGACUGGGAAAACUGAGUCAUGCUAGAAGCAUAUAAAUUGAGGCUCAAAUACCAAACUGAUAUUUUUUUAAGUGUUAUUGGCAAUCCAGGAAAGAAGAGCCAGAGAAUAACAACUACAACAGAAGAAGUGGUGAUGUCCAAAAAAAAUCUGAGAAACAUCUGUCAUUCUUACUGAAAACUGUGGAAAGUGAAAAUCCUUUGGAAGCCUGAGUUUCUUGGCAUCAUCAAGGAAUUUACAGACAAACACUCCAUCAUCUCAAAAGGCUUCAGUUAAGGAAAUCAGUCUAACUUAGGCAAAAAAAAAAAAAAAAAAAAAAUCCCUUUCUCCCAUUGCCUUGUAGAUGCUUGUCCAUUUGUGGUUUGGGGGUAGAUUUCUGUCUGUUUCUAUACCCCUUUUUCUGUCUCUUUGCAGUCAACAACUACAACAGAAGAAGUGGUGAUGUCAUAUGUGUAAUGUGUAAUAUAUUGUGUAAUAUACUGUGUCUAUAAUCUGUAGGGAAACAGUAACAUAAUGAUGUGGGGCUGGUUUGUAUUUCUCAUCCUUCUCACACUAUAUCUUCCAGAAGGAUCUCACCCAGUCAAACGAAUCCUGGUUUGGAAGAGACAGCCCAGUUCACAUAGUCCCUCAAGCCUAUCCCUACAUGGUAUUCAAACAAAGAGCAUUUUGCAAUUAGAUGUAUA